AACGUAGGAGACAAACGUUAUCCGGAGUUACUGGGCGUAAAGGGCGUGUAGGCGGUUUGUUAAGUCUGGCAUGAAAGCUCUCGGCUAAACCGGGAGAGGUCGUUGGAUACUGGCAAACUAGAGGACGGUAGAGGCGUGUGGAAUUCCGGGUGUAGUGGUGAAAUGCGUAGAGAUCCGGAGGAACACCAGUGGCGAAGGCGACGCGCUGGGCCGUACCUGACGCUAAAGCGCGACAGCAUGGGGAGCAAACGGG
This 253-nucleotide ribosomal RNA is filed under the name uncultured bacterium. Its description in RNAcentral is "partial 16S ribosomal RNA". It matches the Rfam family "Bacterial small subunit ribosomal RNA", at positions 524 to 776 of the family's 1533-position model. The record is from RNAcentral.